Molecule: long non-coding RNA, 1206 nt
Organism: Papaver somniferum (opium poppy)
Lineage: Eukaryota; Viridiplantae; Streptophyta; Magnoliopsida; Ranunculales; Papaveraceae
Exons: 4
Source: RefSeq, a predicted model, not a curated record
CCAGUUUUCUCCUUCAACCAUUUCUCCUCUACCUUACUCUUCUCGAUCUCAUGUUCGUCUUUCAGAGUCUCGCUUAAAACCCUUUAAUCGGUUGGUUCAAGGGAGGGCUAAACCAACAAAGAAUAGUGAAGAGUAGAGAAGAAACAGAGAAGAUUAGAGAAGAAGAUCGGUUAGCAUCUGAAGAAACUCCAUCAAGAGCUGCUGAAGCUGCCCACAAAAGGGUCUUAUAUUGAAAAUUAUCCAGAGCCACCUGCUAACACUACUACGGAAACCCCAACUGAUAUUGCAGAACAACCCAAGCUCAUGAGUGCUGCUCUGGUUAAGGCUGCAAAGCAGAGUUAGGGUCAAAGAAGCCUUGGAUUUUCAACAUGAGGAGACGUUUGAUUGAUGGAGAUCGCAGUAUCUAAGAUAUCAACACUUGUAGUCUGCAGUAUGUAUUACCAAAAAAGCCUGCCUAAAGAAAUUUACAGAUAAAGAAGAACUUUACAUAAUUAACUUCCUUUGUCUAGAGAAACCAGAGUUACAAAACCUUGAAAUGUUUCUACAGUGGUCCCAUAUUGUUACAAAACCUUGAAUGGUCCUGCAGUUAAUGAAUUGGCAUCAGAUUUUAGCUUACACUUUUAGGUAGCGUUGUUCUACUGUCCCUGGUAAGUAUUAAAACUUUGUCCCAUUACACUGUUUAAGCACAUUGUUAUACUGUUUUAGCUUACUGGGUGUCCAUAAGGUAUUCAUUUUUUUAGUGAAUCAUCUGUGGGUAGUUUUUGUUCUUAAAAUUGCAAAGCUGUCUUGACCAUGAGUGCAUAUUUACAAAAUUCUGUGUAGGUAACUUCCAUGUUUCGAGAAUAUAGGCUGGUUUGUGAUACUAUCUCCAGUUUGUAGGUAGCCCUGUGUUACUUUCUCUUUGUAUUCCAUCAUCGUAGAUGAUGAUUGAAGGUCAUACGAAGAGCUUUUGGUGAUGAUACUCUUAUCUGAAGAACAAGGUUACAUGAAGAACAUGGAAUUAUGCUGGGAUUCAUCAUCCAUUUUGAAAAGAAUAGAACUUUUGUAUCUUGAGUCUUUGUGCUGUUGCAAGAUCUUUUUUUUUGUUCUUUUGUUUGUUCACUUUUACCUAGUUAGAUUGGCAGUACCAUUGGGUACAUAUUUAGCUAGAUUGGCCUUUGUUGUGUUGCAAGAUCUUUUCUUUUUCUGAAACAUUUUUGUGUGCAG